UACGUAGGGACCAAGCGUUGUUCGGAUUUACUGGGCGUAAAGGGCGCGUAGGCGGCAUGACAAGUCACUUGUGAAAUCUCCGGGCUUAACUCGGAACGGCCAAGUGAUACUGUCAAGCUAGAGUGCAGAAAGGGCAAUCGGAAUUCUUGGUGUAGCGGUGAAAUGCGUAGAUAUCAAGAGGAACACCUGAGGCGAAGGCGGGUUGCUGGGCCGACACUGACGCUGAGGCGCGAAAGCUAGGGGAGCGAACGGG
RNAcentral lists this ribosomal RNA (253 nucleotides) under uncultured bacterium. RNAcentral's name for it is "partial 16S ribosomal RNA". It matches the Rfam family "Bacterial small subunit ribosomal RNA", at positions 524 to 776 of the family's 1533-position model. The record is from RNAcentral.